CUCAUGGAGAGUUUGAUCCUGGCUCAGGAUGAAUGUUGGUGGAAUGAUUAACACAUGGAAGUUAGACGAGAAGUGGUGUUUCCAGUGGCGGACAAGUGAGAAAUUCAUAAGAACUUUCCCUUAGGAGGGGAACAACAACUGGAAAUGACUGCUAAUACCCCAUAGGCUAAGGAGAAAACGGAGGAAUCCACCCAAGGAGGGGAUCGUGUCUUAUUAGUUAGUUGGUGAGGCAAUGGCUUACCAAUGCGAUGAUCAGUAGCUAGUCUAAGAGGAUGAUCAACCACAUUGGGACUGAGACACGACCCAAACUCUUACGAAAGGAAGCAGUGGGGAAUUCUUCGCAAUGGGUGAAAUCCUGACGGGGCAAUGCCACGUGAAGGUAGAAGGCCCACGGGUCAUGAAAUUAUUUUCUCGGAGAAGAAACAAUGACGGUAUAUGAGGAAUAAGCAUCAACCAACUCUGUGUCAAUAGCCAUGGUAAGACAUAGGAUGCAAGUGUUAUCUGGAAUGAUUGGGUGUAAAGCGUCUAUAGGUGGCUUUUUAAUUCCACUGUCAAAUCCCAGGGAUCAAACCUGGACAAGCGGUGAAAACUACUAAGCUGGAGUACGGGAGGGGCAGAGGGAAUUUUCGGUGGAGCGAUGAAAUGCAUUGAGAUCAGAAAGAAUACCAACGGCGAAAGAACUCUGUUGGGCCAACAUUGACACUGAGAGAUGAAAUCUAGGGGAGAAAAUGGGAUUAGAUACCCCAAUAGUUCUAGCCAUAAAUGAUGGAUACUGAGUGUUGUGCGUAUCGACCCACGCAGUGUUGUAGCUAAUGCGUUAAGUAUCCUGCCUAUGGAGUACAUUUGCAAGAAUGAAACUCAAAGGAAUUGACGGGGGCCCGCACAAGCAGUGGAGCAUAUGGCUCAAUUCGAUGCAAAGCAAAGAACCUUACCAGGGAUUGAAAUGUCAUGAAUCCUCUUGUGUCGUAAGGUGUUUGGUUAAGUCCUGCAAUGAACACAACCCUCGAGUUUAGUUUCUAGCAUUGAGUUUGGAACCCUUAACAGACUAUUGGUGAUAAGCUGAAGGAAGGUGAGGAUGACAUCAAGUCAUCAUGCCCCUUGUGCCCUAGGUGACACACAUGCUACAAUGACCAGAAAAAAGGGUCGUGACCCUGCGAGGGAAAGAUAACCUCAAAAACCUGGCCUCAGUUCGGAUUGCAGGCUACAACUUGCCUACAUGCAACCAAAAUCACUAGUAAUCGUCGGUCAUCCAUAUGGCGAGGAACCCGUUACUGGGACUUGUACAAAUUGCCCCUCACACUAUGGGAGUUGGCCAUGCCCCAAGUCAUUAUCUUAACCACAAGGAAGGAAAUCUCAAAGGAUGGGCUAGUGACUGGAGUGGGUGGGGGUGGGCGGAAUAAUAGAGAAAACAUAAUAU
Molecule: non-coding RNA, 1417 nt
Organism: Picea glauca (white spruce)
Lineage: Eukaryota; Viridiplantae; Streptophyta; Pinopsida; Pinales; Pinaceae
Source: Rfam